RNAcentral lists this transfer RNA (69 nucleotides) under Enterobacter cloacae. Its description in RNAcentral is "tRNA-Leu". It matches the Rfam family "tRNA". Rfam says of the family: Transfer RNA (tRNA) molecules are approximately 80 nucleotides in length. Their secondary structure includes four short double-helical elements and three loops (D, anti-codon, and T loops). Lineage: Bacteria; Pseudomonadati; Pseudomonadota; Gammaproteobacteria; Enterobacterales; Enterobacteriaceae. The record is from RNAcentral.
UCUUUAGCUCAGUUGGCUAGAGUGAGCCAUAAUCGGCAGGUCGCUGGUUCAAGUCCAGCAAGAUCAUCA